Molecule: long non-coding RNA, 1238 nt
Filed under: Piliocolobus tephrosceles (Ugandan red Colobus)
Lineage: Eukaryota; Metazoa; Chordata; Mammalia; Primates; Cercopithecidae
Description: lncRNA (ENSPTEG00000012251.1)
Source: RNAcentral
UGUUACUCAUAACCUGAGCAUUAAAAAUAAUAGUUAUAUUUUUUUUUUUUUUUUUAAAUAAAAAUGAAUUACAAUUCCAACCCCGAUUACGAGUUUGAGUAUUACCAGAAUCUGAUGCAAAAGGAACUAAAAGAAUAUGAAACAAAUUCCGAAGUUUCAUGUAAAAUUGGUUAUAGUGACUCAGAAUCGGAAGGUGUUGCUUCGAUAAAAGAAGAACCCUAUUAUGCAUAUAAUAAGAAAUUACAAAAUUAUAAAACAGAAAAAGUAAACAAACCAGUAUGGAAAAGUGUUUACGAGUUUGAAGAUACAGUUAAAGAUUCAUAUUCUGAUCAUGAAUAUGUAAAAAAUGAUGAAUCAGAUGAUAGUGUUGAAUCACCUAGGUUUGGAAUUACAUCCAAUAAUGUGAGUGAUAAAAGUGAUGAUGAAAGUGGUGAUGAAAGUGGUGAUGAAAAUAAAGAACAUAAACAACACAUACAAAGAAACCGAAGUAAAGAAAGUGAUAACAACAAAAACAACCCAUGGUUUGAUGAAUAUUUGUAUAAAAAAAAUAUGGAUAGAGAGGAAACACCUGUCCGUCCUUUAAAAAAAGUUGAAAUAGAAGUAACUAAAAACAAAACAAAUAAUAUAUUUCCAGAAUUUCAUAAAGAGGACUUGAUGUACAUAUCUGAUAAUAUGAAUUACAGUUUUAGAAAAGAAUUAGAAAAUAACAUGUAUAAUAAUUUAAAUGCAUUUAAAAAUAUAAAAAAUAGUUAUGAUGAUGUAAGUAAACAUUUUAUGAAACCUAAGACACAAAAAGACAUGAACAAUGUAUAUUAUGACAUAAAUGAUGAAACACUGGAUAUUAAAAUGUUAAAAAAAGAACAUGAGAAACUGGUAAACGUAAACAAAUUAAAUAACAUACAAAUGGAUGCUUAUGAUAAAUUUACAUAUGGUAAUUAUAACGAUGAUACACAAGUUGAAAAAAAACAAAUGAAUUUUACUAGAUUGAAAAAAAUGAUAGCAAACAAAAAUACAAAAAAGCAAUUUGGACAUACUGAUGAUUAUACACUAGAUAACGAUAAUAGGGACAACAUAGACUCUGGUAAUGACUACUCCGGAAAUAGUGAUAUAAACAGCAAUGCUUCAGAUAUAUAUUACAAAAUUAAUUCUGAUAAAAACGCUGGGUUAAGAAAUGAAAAAUUAAAGGUACAAACAAGCUCCAAUAGGAAUAAUAUUCCUAAAAAAAAAAAAGCACAAUA